AGGGUCAAGCUAAUAAGGGCAUACGGUGGAUGCCUAGGCGCUAGGAGGCGAUGAAGGACGUGGUAGGCUGCGAAAAGCUUCGGGGAGCUGUCAAACGAGCGUUGAUCCGAGGAUGUCCGAAUGGGGAAACCCACCAGCAGUGGCGCAAGUCAGGGCUGGUAUCCUAAUCUGAAUUCAUAGGUUUAGGAGGCGAACCCGGAGAACUGAAACAUCUCAGUACCCGGUGGAAGAGAAAGAAAGUCGAUUCCCUGAGUAGCGGCGAGCGAACGGGGAAGAGCCUAAACCGAUAUUGUGUAAGAUUUGCGUCGUUGCAAUAUCGGGGUUGUGGGACCGCUCAUGGUGUGCGCAAACGCACCGCGAGUGAUGCAACUGUCUAGCCGAACAGGACUGGAAAGCCUGGCUAUAGAGGGUAAUGGCCCCGUAGGCGAAAGGCAGGUUGCAGCUCGAGUGGCACCCGAGUACGGCGGAACACGAGGAAUUCUGUCGGAAUCUGCGAGGACCACCUCGUAAGGCUAAAUACUACCUAGCGACCGAUAGUGGACUAGUACCGUGAGGGAAAGGUGAAAAGUACCCCUGUUAGGGGAGUGAAAUAGAACCUGAAACCGUAUGCCUACAAGCAGUGGGAGCCCCAUGUCUUCGGACGGGGUGACUGCGUACCUUUUGCAUAAUGAGUCAGCGACUUACGUUUCGUCGCUCGGUUAAGCCGAGAGAGGUGUAGCCACAGCGAAAGCGAGUCUUAAUAGGGCGUAUAUGGUGGCGGGACGUAGACCCGAAACCGGGUGAUCUACCCAUGGCCAGGUUGAAGCGUCGGUAAAACGACGUGGAGGACCGAACUCACUAAGGUUGAAAACUUAGGGGAUGAGCUGUGGGUAGGGGUGAAAGGCCAAUCAAACUCGGAGAUAGCUGGUUCUCCCCGAAAUAUAUUUAGGUAUAGCCUCGAGUAUCUGUCUCGGAGGUAGAGCACUGGUUGGGCUAGGGGCCUCCACGGGUUACCAACCCCAGCCAAACUCCGAAUGCCGUGACUGUGAGCUCGGGAGUCAGACUGUGGGUGAUAAGGUCCAUGGUCAAAAGGGAAACAGCCCAGAUCGCCAGCUAAGGUCCCUAAAUUUGGCUAAGUGGAAAAGGAUGUGGAAACGCCGUGACAACCAGGAGGUUGGCUUAGAAGCAGCCAUCCUUUAAAGAAAGCGUAAUAGCUCACUGGUCUAGCGAGUCCGCGCCGAAAAUAUAACGGGGCUCAAGCCAAAUACCGAAGCUGCGGACUUGUUCGCAAGAACGAGUGGUAGGGGAGCGUUCCAGUAACCUGUGAAGCAUGACCGGCAAGGACGUGUGGAGGAACUGGAAGAGAGCAUGCUGACAUGAGUAGCGAUAAAGCAGGUGAGAAACCUGCUCGCCGGAAGCCUAAGGUUUCCUGGGUAAAGGUUUUCUUCCCAGGGUUAGUCGGGACCUAAGCCGAGGCCGAAUGGCGUAGGCGAUGGAAAACAGGUUAAUAUUCCUGUACCCGUGAUGUAUUGUUUGAGUGUGAGUGGGGACGGAGAAGGUAAGGUCAUCCGAGUUUUGGUUUACUCGGUUCAACCCAGUAGGGGUUCGUCGUAGGACUCGACAGAGACAAACGCGACGAAGCUACCUCGAGAGGGGAUGAGGAGGUGCACAGCUGCGCCUAUCAACUGACUGGCUCCAUGCUUCCAAGAAAAGCCACGCACAUGAGAUGCAUUAUGGCCCGUACCGCAAACCGACACAGGUAGGCAGGGAGAGUAUCCCAAGGCGCAUGAGAGAACCAUGGUUAAGGAACUCGGCAAAAUGGCACUGUAACUUCGGGAGAAGGUGCACCCUCGGUAGGUGAAGCGGCUAGCCCGUAGAGCCGAUGAGGGUUGCAGAGAAACGGCGGUAGCGACUGUUUACUAAAAACACAGGACUCUGCAAAGUCGCGAAGACGACGUAUAGGGUCUGACGCCUGCCCGGUGCCGGAAGGUUAAGGGGAAGNNNNNNNNNNNNNNNNNNNNNNNNNNNNNNNNNNNNNNNNNNNNNUCCUAAGGUAGCGAAAUUCCUUGUCGGGUAAGUUCCGACCUGCACGAAUGGCGUAACGACUUCCGCACUGUCUCAACCAUGGGCUCAGCGAAAUUGAAUUGGCGGUGAAGAUGCCGUCUACCCGCGGCUAGACGGAAAGACCCCGUGAACCUUUACUGCAGCUUGACAGUGGCUUUCGGACUGGACUGUGUAGGAUAGGUGGGAGACGUUGAAAUCGGAGCGCUAGCUUCGGUGGAGUUAACCUUGAAAUACCACCCUGUCCUUUCUGGAAGCCUAACCUGCGCCCGUAAGCCGGGCGGGGGACACUGUCUGGUGGGUAGUUUGACUGGGGCGGUCGCCUCCAAAAAUGUAACGGAGGCGCACGAAGGUUCCCUCAGGCUGAUUGGAAACCAGCCGUAGAGUGCAAAGGCAUAAGGGAGCUUGACUGCGAGAGGGACACCUCGAGCAGGUGCGAAAGCAGGUCUUAGUGAUCCGGUGGUUCCGAGUGGAAGGGCCAUCGCUCAACGGAUAAAAGGUACUCCGGGGAUAACAGGCU
RNAcentral lists this ribosomal RNA (2560 nucleotides) under Deltaproteobacteria bacterium CG17_big_fil_post_rev_8_21_14_2_50_63_7. RNAcentral describes it as "bacterial LSU rRNA". It matches the Rfam family "Bacterial large subunit ribosomal RNA", at positions 1 to 2483 of the family's 2925-position model. The record is from RNAcentral. Lineage: Bacteria; Deltaproteobacteria.